GCACUCUCACCCAUCGCAGAAAUGGAAAGCCAAGACGACAACAAAAAUCCCCUUAAUGGCUUUGCAGAAAACAUGUCAUCAUCGCUGCCAUCCUCCUACCUCCUCCCUCACAGAAGAGCAGGCGUGCUCACAGAGGCGCAACAAAAGGAGCACAGAAAUGGUCUUAAGGCGCACAAGGCAAGAAAAUAAAAAGGACUACAUCACCUCAAGGCCUCCUUUGUAGAGACAUACGCAGCAUACACAGAUCACUACUGUUUAUUAUCAAAGCCUCCCCAGUGAGCUUGGAUCAACUUUACAAAGCAAAUUUUUUUUUUGACAUUUCAAUGGAUAUGAGAGGCUUCAAGUAAAGAUGUCAUCAGAUCCAUAAUCUAAAAGCGGACCAGUGGGUUAUCUCCUCCACCAAAAAGACUUCUUGAAGCUCUUCCUCCCACUGAGGCUCUUUUGUUUUUUUGUUUUUUGUUUUUAUUCACAGCUGUAAGCAAGUUUUUGCAGAGGUGAACAGAAGGAGUCAAAUGUUGAACAACAGAAACAGGAAUCUUACGGGCCCACAAUAAAGUGGAAACCGUACAGCUUUAACGGGAACAGAUCAUGCUUUUCAAAUCCUUCCUUUAUGUGGUCGACAUAAAGUGGAACUGCAAUGCAUUAAUCUGAAUUCCUCGUAAAUUUACCCCCACGUUCCCCCUGUCUUACCCCUGUUCUGAGGUUCGUCUCGGAUGCAUCUGUUUUUUUUUUUCAUUUUUGUAGUAUGCUGGGUGACAGUCUACCGAAUUGUGUGAGCUAAUACACCCAACAACCAGGCAUUUUCGCUAUUUCACUUGUAGCUUCGGCAUCCAUGAGCUUGGACUACAAAAAUGGGGCAAAAACAUUAAAAAAAAGGCCUAUUCACAAAAAUGGCAAGCCGAAACUCCAUGUUGUUUAGCAGCUCUGCAGCAAAUACUGUCGUCAUUGUUCAAAAAACGUCACCGAGAAUACAGAAAACUGAACGGCUUGAAAAAUAUGACCUUAACAGAAUAUAAAGAUAUCGACGCAGCUUCUGGAGAGGCUAAAUUCAAAAUGUCUGCACUCUUAGAGACUCCAAGUAUGUAGUAAGUGUAUUUUAUAAUUUUUUGCAAAAACACAUUUAUUAAAACUGUCUCUUUGCCCUGAUGGUAAAAUGUGAGACGGAUAAUCUGUGAAAAAUCUCUGGCUCCUCCCCAUCGUUCAAGCUCAAGAUUGCCAGUGAGCUGCAGCUGUGCGGAGAAAUGGCUGAGAAACAACCUAUAGCAUUACAGGAGAACUGCCAGUUUAGUGAGCGGCACCUGCUCAGAAAGCAAAGACAGGUACACAGAAGAAACCUGACUACGACAAGCAAGCUAAAGAGAAAGAAUUAGGCCAAGCCCGAAAUAAAACGGGGGUAAACAUCUGUGGCAGAGGGACCUGUUAGGUGUACUUGUUCAAAUUUUCCACGGUUUUCUCAGCGCUCCCCACUGCAGCUUUAUGGGAUAAGAAAGUGGAUUUUGAAUGAGAUGUUCCCUUUAACAAGAGCAGCAUGGAGUCCCCAGAGCAGGGACCACAGAGACAACACGACUGAGAAAGAACAGGAAUUGAUUGUUUGGGUUUAACUCAACUCUGAAUUGUCUGAGAAAAAUAAAACGAUUUUUAUUCUUUA
Long non-coding RNA from Fundulus heteroclitus (mummichog), 1648 nucleotides. RefSeq lists it as uncharacterized. The record is from RefSeq and is a predicted model, not a curated record. The transcript is spliced from 3 exons. NCBI's taxonomy places the organism in Eukaryota, Metazoa, Chordata, Actinopteri, Cyprinodontiformes, Fundulidae.